CUAGCCCUAGAUCCAUCUCCUCUCUCAUUUCUUCGGUUCUUUCUCUUAGCCCUAGAUCUAUCUCUUCUGGGCUUUUUCCUUUCUUUCCAUUGACAGUUUCAAACUCACCCAUUUCUCUCAUUAGGCUGCUGGAAGUGGUCGACAACAACCACAACAACGGCGGUAGAGGCGGCGGCGAGGAUCAUGACCGGAACGCAGAUGAUUGGGAUUGGGCGGCCCUGCUAUCGCAAUCGUACAACUAGAAUGAACUGGAUGAGAUGCAGAGGAGCUGGCUUCUCGGUCCGGUGGAGGGAAAGAAAAACAGAUAUGUUGACCUCAUGUCGAAGAAGGCUUUGAAAUAGGAAUACUGGUGGAAUCAAGAUGUGCCCAUCCUAUUUUAUUUUCGGACGACCCAUGAAAGUUAGAGAGACGAAGAUGAGCAAAGCAAUAAUGACUUGAAGGAAGAGGCUUUCGAGAUGUCGUACCACGAGCCUUCAAAGAUUUAGCUGAAAAGUUUGUAAGAGUAUACUCCACGAGCAAAGAUGAUAGAAGACUUACAAUGCAAAGCCUCAACAUAAUAGCGACUCUGAUUCAUUGAACAACAAAGAGAAUACUUUAUCUUGUAUCAUUUGAAUACAUUAGUU
Long non-coding RNA from Cucurbita moschata (crookneck pumpkin), 623 nucleotides. RefSeq lists it as uncharacterized. NCBI's taxonomy places the organism in Eukaryota, Viridiplantae, Streptophyta, Magnoliopsida, Cucurbitales, Cucurbitaceae. The record is from RefSeq and is a predicted model, not a curated record. The transcript has 3 exons.